This is a long non-coding RNA of Anolis carolinensis (green anole), 869 nucleotides long. RefSeq lists it as uncharacterized. The record is from RefSeq and is a predicted model, not a curated record. Lineage: Eukaryota; Metazoa; Chordata; Lepidosauria; Squamata; Anolidae. The transcript is spliced from 2 exons.
UUUUCAAACCAGCUGUGCUAAUUGCAAAACAGUGUCGUAAAAUCCAGGGUUUGUUUCAUACAAAAGGAAAUCUUAAAACAAACUGCAAGUUCAAAGAAAGCUUGAGAAUGCUUGUUUCAUGUGGACACAAUGAAAGGAAUACGUGCAUGUAGUAUAAUUAUUGAGUCUCUGUAUCUAAUGAAUGCGUCUGUGAUCACAUAUAAAUAACAAGUCCUGCAAGAUUCUGAGUACCUCUAAAGAAAUAUGGGGCAUAGAAUUUUCUGCCUUAUCCAGUGCCUAGAAAUGUUACUCUUUUAAACUUCAAAUCCCAGAAUCUUCCAGACAUCAUGCUUGGCUUUGAGGACUUAUAGACCAAAAAGAGACUCACACUAUAUCAAGAGCAAGUGGAACUUGGAAAUCUACAGCAAUCUAGUAAAUGCAGUAGCUACUUCUGGAUUUUCUAUGCUUUAUUCCUCUUGUGAUGUUCCUUUGUCUAUUACUUUUCUCUUUCUCAUUUUACCAUUUUAGCUGGGACAGGCCACUUGAGACUUUCUUGCAUGAUGCCUCUAUUCUGUGCCAUUCACAUGAUCAAAGAUAGUGGAAACAUGGCGACGCUCAUAAUAACACUGCUGCAAGCAUCAUGCAACUGCAAUGCGAGAUCUUGUGACUAUACUUCUGGUAAAUUCAGAGUGGGACAGAAGGACAAUCCCUGGGAUCAUUGCACCUGUGGCACACUAAGAGGCUAUUGACUCUUUUUUUCCCAUCAGUAGCAGGGGACAGCUUUGUCAUAGGGAGGUAGAAGACCAGCAACAGGACGGCAUACCGGUAGCAUUCUGCUUCUCUGCCAGUUUUCCACCUCCAUGCAAUAAAAUCCUCAGUCAGAGACUCAA